This 305-nucleotide signal recognition particle RNA is filed under the name Triticum urartu. Its description in RNAcentral is "Plant signal recognition particle RNA". It matches the Rfam family "Plant signal recognition particle RNA". The record is from Rfam by way of RNAcentral. Lineage: Eukaryota; Viridiplantae; Streptophyta; Magnoliopsida; Poales; Poaceae.
GCCGAGCUCAUUAGCGGGAGCUUGUAACCCGAGCUGGGGGCUUUAAGGUGGUGUGAACGUUGCCGUAGCGCUGUGGGCCUGGCCCGGUUGUGCUUCUGCUGGUCCGCCCGUUCCAAGUUGGUAGUGGACCCGCUUGGGGCCUGUGCGAAAGCUAGGCGCCACGGGCUAUAAUGCGGCAGGCAUUGCGUGAGGCUGGUUUAACAGAGCAGCGAAAACUGCCCGCCUCCAACGGUGGAAGGAUAACGGGCCGCUGCAUAACUGGGCCGCUUGGGUCUCCCAGCCUACUCCAACGAACCACUAUCUUU